RNAcentral lists this ribosomal RNA (512 nucleotides) under uncultured bacterium. RNAcentral describes it as "partial 16S ribosomal RNA". It matches the Rfam family "Bacterial small subunit ribosomal RNA", at positions 28 to 507 of the family's 1533-position model. The record is from RNAcentral.
GAUGAACGCUGGCGGCGUGCCUAAUACAUGCAAGUCGAACGAAACUUCUUUUUCACCGCGUGCUUGCACUCACCGAUAAAGAGGUGAGUGGCGAACGGGUGAGUAACACGUGGGCAACCUGCCCAAAAGAGGGGGAUAACACUUGGAAACAGGUGCUAAUACCGCAUAACCAUAGUUACCGCAUGGUAACUAUGUAAACGGUGGCUAUACUACCGCCUUUGGAUGGGUCCGCGGCGCAUUAGCUAGUUGGUAGGGUAAAGGCUGACCAAGGCAACGAUGCGUAGCCGACCUGAGCGGGUGAUCGGCCACAGUGGAACUGAGACACAGUCCAGACUCCUACGGGAGGCAGCAGUAGGGAGUCUUCCGCAAUGGGCGAAAGCCUGACGGAGCAACGCCGCGUGAGUGAGGAAGGUCUUCGGAUCCUAAACCUCUGUUAUUAGGGAAGCCCAAAUGUGUAAGUAACUAUGCACGUCUUGACGCUACCUAAUCAGAAAGCCACGGCUCACUACGUG